This 492-nucleotide ribosomal RNA is filed under the name uncultured bacterium. RNAcentral's name for it is "partial 16S ribosomal RNA". It matches the Rfam family "Bacterial small subunit ribosomal RNA", at positions 29 to 507 of the family's 1533-position model. The record is from RNAcentral.
AGUGAACGCUGGCGGUAGGCCUAACACAUGCAAGUCGAACGGCAGCACAGUAAGAGCUUGCUCUUACGGGUGGCGAGUGGCGGACGGGUGAGGAAUACAUCGGAAUCUACUUUUUCGUGGGGGAUAACGUAGGGAAACUUACGCUAAUACCGCAUACGACCUACGGGUGAAAGCAGGGGAUCUUCGGACCUUGCGCGAUUGAAUGAGCCGAUGUCGGAUUAGCUAGUUGGCGGGGUAAAGGCCCACCAAGGCGACGAUCCGUAGCUGGACUGAGAGGAUGGUCACCCACACUGGAACUGAGACACGGUCCAGACUCCUACGGGAGGCGGCGGUGGGGAAUAUUGGACAAAGGGCGCAAGCCUGAUCCAGCCAUACCGCGUGGGUGAAGAAGGCCUUCGGGUUGUAAAGCCCUUUUGUUGGGAAAAAAAAGCAGCAGGUUAAUACCCCGCUGUUCUGACGGUACCCAAAGAAUAAGCACCGGCUAACUUCGUG